RNAcentral lists this ribosomal RNA (468 nucleotides) under uncultured bacterium. RNAcentral's name for it is "bacterial SSU rRNA". It matches the Rfam family "Bacterial small subunit ribosomal RNA", at positions 1 to 507 of the family's 1533-position model. The record is from RNAcentral.
CAGUAGUCACGAGUUUGAUCAUGGCUCAGAUUGAACGCUGGCGGCAGGCCUAACACAUGCAAGUCGUACGAGAGUUUUUAACNCUAGUGGCGACGGGUGAGUAACACGUGAGAAUUUGCCUUUAGGAGGGGGACAACAAUUGGAAACGAAUGCUAAUACCCCAUAUGCUUUCGAGUGAAAUGGAUUUUAUCCGCCUAGAGAGAAGCUCGCGGCUGAUUAGCUUGUUGGUAAGGUAAGAGCUUACCAAGGCGACGAUCAGUAUCUGGUUUGAGAGGACGAUCAGACACACUGGAACUGAGACACGGUCCAGACUCCUACGGGAGGCAGCAGUGGGGAAUUUUCCGCAAUGGGCGAAAGCCUGACGGAGCAAUACCGCGUGAGGGAAGAAUGCCUAUGGGUUGUAAACCUCUUUUUCAGGGAGGAAUAAAAUGACGUGUACCUGAAGAAUAAGCAUCGGCUAACUCCGUG